GAGUAAGAAUGAGAGUGGUAUAUGUAAUAGGUUUGUGUGUGUGUGUAGGAUUAUUAAUAGCUAAGUGGGGUAUUAAUUGUGUGAAAAUAAGGUAGGUGAGGAGGAAAUUUAACAACUUGGAAUACAAUAUGACAGGUGGUUUUUGUGUGAGAUGAAAUGGGAAUGAAAGUGGGAACAAACUUUGGAUGUGUCUAGAGUGACAUAUGACUUUUGUAGAAAUGGAUGACAGAUCAAUCAAUGAUAUAUUGUGAAGUCACAUCUUCAUGUAAAGCUAGAGGUUUUAAAAGAGUCGAGCUGAGUAGUACUCAAAAUUUCUAGCAUAUGAGCUAACUUGACCUGUUUAAGGUCGUAUUGUAGGUUAGCCUUUGUUUGAAGGCAAGUCGAGAUGGGGUUUUGGGAUUUGAACUCAGCGGCUUUUCCAAGUUAGCUAUCUCGACAAAAAAUAAAUGAAUAUAGAAUUAUGAUACAAGGGCGUGCAAGAUUAUGGAAUCGUGCUAAGUAAAUGUUAAGUGCUCGUUUGGGAGAGUUAAAAAAGUUGCUAAAAGAUUGAAGUCAAAUUCAGUACACAUCACAUAUAACCCACAAUCACUAAUCAUUUAUACACCAUUCAUUUCGUGAGACACACUACUCUCUUUUAUCAACAUCGGCUUUAUUUUUUUCCCGCUCUCCCAAGCAACACUGAUUUUGUAGAUGAUAUAAAAUUAAGCUCCAAAAUAAUAAACAUAGAAUUGUUGUUCUAAAAGUAUAUGCAAAAUUAGUGCAUCAAUUAACACAUAAAUUUAAUAUUAAACUCAUCAAUUAAAAUCAUUAGAAGUGUGUAUGGACUGGUUUGAAUAGGUAUUCAUAAGUGUAAUAAAUUAAUAGCAUGUUUGAGUCUAUUUUUUUGAUGAAAAUGUAUUUUUGAAUAGCAUUUUGAUGGAGAAUGUGUGGUUAAAAAGUAAGGAAAAAUUUUAGAUUUGUAAGUAAUAUUAUUUUAUUGAAAAAUAUAUUGUUGAAAAUAAGAAAAAGAAAAAGAAAUUUUAAAAUUAAUAGAAAUCGAACAGUAGCUAAAUAUACGAAUACAUGGAACUUAACGAUUGUAUAUCCCAUGAUAGAAUCAAAUCAAAUCAGAAUUGAUUGGUCCUAGCUCAAUCUCGUAUAACUUUUUAAUUGCUUUGAGAAAUAUAGGGAAAAAAAAAAGUAUAACACGUGAACUGGGUUUUAUUAAUUCUAGUUUUAAUUUCAAACUAUUUUAUUUGAAAUUAUAAAAUUGAUUAUUCAUAUUACAAAUUAAUUUAAUUGAGAAAUUAUAAAAAUAUUGAAAUUAAGUUAAAUAUAGUUCUUUAGCUGGAAUGUCGAACCAAAUCAAAACCAUUUAGUUAACUAUAAAAUUUUAAUCGGAUUGAAACCGAUUACUUUGAUCAGUUUUCAGGUAACAUUAACAAUAGUUAUCAGAAUAAUAAAUGUACAUAUUUAUAUAGAAUUGAGUUUAUCAAUAGCAGUACCUAACAUAGAAAAUUACCUUAAAUAAAUGCAAGACUAGGUACUAAUGGAUCGCGUUAAUUAAAAUAACUACUUAAAUGAUUAUUCCCAUGAAUUACAUUUUAAUAAAAAAAAGAAAAAAAAAAGUUGAACCCCAACCUUGAAGGCCCCCACCGCCCUACCACUAGAACUUUGUGAGGAAGGUAAGUUGCGGCAUAUGCCCUAGCAGGUCAGGGAAUAAGAGUUACCUGUACACUGCGCCUACAAAGAGUCUAAUUCCAUGUUUCAGGAAUCGAACCCCCCACACUGCGGCUGCCAACAAGGCGUGAGAUAACAUCACUCUUAUCCUUUGCACUACUAGGCUAUGCUCCGGGGGGCAAUUACAUUUUUACAUAUAUAAAAAACAAAGGAGUUGAUUAUUUGAUUUUGAUAAGAUAAAAAUUCAAGCCAUAUGGCUCGAGCAAAGAUUUCGAAUUCAAAUCUAAUAACUACAUUACAUAAAUAAUUUUCUCCGAUGUCUUCACAAUUUUUAAAAUUAUUACUCUCUUGUAUGGCGCACUUGCCUAAGCUUAAAAAAUUUUACUCAAAUUAAAAUUAAUUUUAGUUUAAAGACUCAACUUACACUUUUAAAAGUUUAGUGACUAUAUGAAAUUUACAGCAAUGCGUUUUAUAAAGUUGUAAAAAAUAAAUAAAUAAAGUGUCAAAAGAUUCACCGUACGAUAAUAUAAGAUAUUGUGAUAAGCCACAAUCUCUUUGAUGAUCAAAUUGCAUUGAUAUUGAUAGUGAUCCCUUUUCAAUUAACCUUUUCCAUCAUAUUUCAUUGCAUAAAUUAGAUGAUUUUAGUGUUAGAGCUCUCUAGAAGUGUAAUAUGGGUAAUAAAGAAAGGUAAUGGGUUAUUGUCUCUUUGAUUUUGGGUGUAUGAAAAGGGACAUAACAAUAAUUGUAAAAUAGUUUUCGUCCCUUUCUUUUUCUUUUAUUUAAAAAAAAGAAAAGAAAAAUCUAGAAUCUUGUAUUGUCCUCAUUCUAUGAACAUAGAUUGUUCAUCACUUUAUGAUUUGCUAAAUAUGGGUGAAUAUUUAUUGUAGUUAUCGAGUUAUUUUCUUAAGAAUACGCUAUUGCUUUUAUUAUACUCCUAAUUUUACAGUUAUUAUCGAUUAUUUCUAAGAACGUAUAGUAGUCAACUGUCCUCCCUUCACUCGACCAUGACACCUAGAAAGAACAUAGCAAAAAAGGAUCCAAAAUCUUGACGAGUUGUCCCCUUCAUGUUACAAACAUUAGUAAAAUCUCCGAUGAUGCACAUAACAAGUUUAUGCUAAUCCUAUCGCAACAAUUUUAUACAAAAUGAGGUAGUAAUAGUUAUCCAUAUUUAUUUUCAUGAUUGUUAAUGAAAAUUAAAUUAUAUGGUAUUUGUUACAUGUUAAAUUGAGAGAUUGCAUAUUAGCAAUCAAUCUUUCUUUUCGUGAAUUUGUUGUUAGAUAGAAAGAUUUCUACUUAUUCAUGAAAUUGUCAUACUUAUUUUUUAUUUAUUUAUUUUUUUCUUGCAUCACUUUUAUUGAAACGUUAAUCGAGAGGAAAGUUUUUUUAAUUAGGUGUGUAUUAACUAGUAGCUAAGAGACAAUUGUUUUGUAUGGGGCUAGUACCCGAUGAUACAAUAAUUACACCAAAAUAUGUUAAUUAGUGAAAUUUGGAUCCCUAAUCAAGGGUGGAUCAAGCACUUUGUGAGCCCCGCGAUCGCCCGUACUGAAUCCGUCGAAAGCAAUUAUUUUUUGUUGAUGAUAAAUAUAAGUUUUAUAUUAGAUAUCUGAUAAUUCACUGUCUUUACAAGCUUUUUUUAUGGCUUAGUUGAUUGAAGCUUUCACAAUCAAAUUUGGUGACCUGGGUUCUAAUUAGUGAUGGCAAAAACAGGCGCCUCAUUGCGCCCCGCCUUGAAUGGGAAAAAAACCCACCCUGAAUGGGUUGGCGAGGCGAUGAUGCCCCGCCCCGCCCCACCCCGCCCCACCCUAUGAAGGAAAAAAAGUCAUUUUGAAUUAUGCAUAUAACAUGAUAAAUGGUAAACUAAAACCCCGUUCCGUGAAGGAAAAAAACCAUUUUGAAUUAUGUAGAUAAAAUAAUAUAUGGUAAACUAAAAACUCCUCAGAAAGCAAGCUUCUAUAGUAUCACAUCUUAAUCUUAUCAUGCGCCUCACCCCGAACCCACCCCAAUCCCCAUUGCCAUCCCUAGUUCUAAUCUCCUUCAAAGCAAUUUAUAGUAUUUUUUUUUUUCUAAUUCAACAAUUUUUACUAAAACUAAUGCAAGAGUGGAGACUCGAAAUUGUGACCCCUCUUUCAAAUUAUUGAAACCUUGACCAUCGUUGCAUUCAUUGAACUAUGGUAUUAAAUCUAACAAAAUAAUAUAUAUUCAAGUUUAGUGGCUUAAUACAAUAACAAGGGUUCGAACUCUCGAUAGUAAAUUUGAGGCAAAUGGCACUUGGCCGCUAUGUCUAAAUUGAUAUGUGUAGCAGAAAAUAUAUGUUUAUUUUUAUCAAAAAUAAUAUAAUUUGUUAUAUUUAAUUUUAAAUAUUUUAUUAUGACCAGCGAUCAACUAGCCGCCCGUACUCACUUCAACUCCUGAAUUCACCCUUGUCCCUAGCCAUUUACUUAAUUGGUUUCUACCUCGAUAGUUGCUUUGUCAUUAUUAGUCAAAUUGUUUUAUUUAGUUGUUAUUUAAAAAAAUAGAAUUCAAAAUUUAAAUAUUAUUAUUAUUAUUUUUGGUAUUUCUGAAGUUAAUUUUGAUUAGAGUAUAAUAAAUAUAUAAUCAAUAUUCAGUAGUACUCUCUACCCACUACUUUAUUAAUUACUUGUCGACUAGCCAUCCACAUAAACCUUUACCACUUCUUCUACUCAUCACCUAUUUGACCCGCUCUCUUUUUUCUAUCCUAAAUGAAAUGAUGAAUUCUAUACGGAAUGCAAUAUUAGUGAUCGAUACUUGGCCCCCCUCUUCUUACCAUGCCACAUGGUAAGGAUAGACGCCUAGUAUCCACGAAUGCCCCUAUAAACAAAGAGAGAAAGAGAGAAGAUAUAUUGCACUUAAAGUUCAUCAAUUAACAGUUGCCUCGAAAAAUAAUUUUGGGAACGUUAAAAGUGUAAGCACAAAAAAGGAGACACAAAACCCUCGUCUUUUCAACACUCAAGUUAAUAUCUGCAUAUAAAAUUCAUAAACUAAAAAUAAAAUAAAUAUCUUAUUUAUCUUUUUGUUGUUCUCAACAAAGUUGAUCUUGAUCGUCGUGUAGCGAUUUUUAUCUUUUACUAGGUGGAAUGAUCGAAUCAUCCAAAUCAACUGAAAAUAAAAAAGAUAUACUGCAAAUAAUUCAUAAAUACAGCAAUAAUAUAUUUUAAAGUAGAUAUUGAAAAUCACAACAAUAUAAAUUACUCAUAACAUAGGAUCAUAGAUCCAUAUAACAAGCUCAUAAUUCAUGAAAUUACUCCAAAACGAAACCCAAAAAACUCUCAAGUUUUAUUCCCUUGGUUUGAUUCCCAACCAGUACCUAAAAUUUAUACUAUAGAAGUAUAUAAUUCUGUGAGUCCACUGUAAGGGACAUGGCUAAAUAUUGUGAUCUCUCUAAGGGCACUUGGGUUUGCCCUUAGAGUUCUUCUUGUCCCUAUAACAGGGACAUUCAUCCUUGUGCCCAUAGGUCCCAGAAGGCACACAAUGGCACUCCUCGCAGCAAAUUCCGCAGUAACGCAAGCACCUGUCCUUCAAUCCUGCCUUUGAACACCUCACUGCACAUUUACUAUCGCAAAAACCUAGCAAAAAUCACCACAUCAUGCACAAAAUCAGCAUGUAAUAUGAACAAAAGAAUCAAACUUUACAAAACCCAUAAUGCCAAAAUAAAGAAAAAGGUUUACGAACUUGAAGCCAUUGUGGUGCGGAUGUGUGAAGAACUGAGGAGAAGGGCUACAAGAAGAAGAGCUGUAAAGAAGAACUUCUUCAUAUUUCUGACGUUUCUAGUGAAUGGAAUGCAAGUGUUUAUGAGUUGAGUAAGAAUGAGAGUGGUAUAUGUAAUAGGUUUGUGUGUGUGUGUAGGAUUAUUAAUAGCUAAGUGGGGUAUUAAUUGUGUGAAAAUAAGGUAGGUGAGGAGGAAAUUUAACAACUUGGAAUACAAUAUGACAGGUGGUUUUUGUGUGAGAUGAAAUGGGAAUGAAAGUGGGAACAAACUUUGGAUGUGUCUAGAGUGACAUAUGACUUUUGUAGAAAUGGAUGACAGAUCAAUCAAUGAUAU
This 5719-nucleotide long non-coding RNA is filed under the name Olea europaea (common olive). Its description in RNAcentral is "long non-coding RNA (OEUR_LNC010660)". Lineage: Eukaryota; Viridiplantae; Streptophyta; Magnoliopsida; Lamiales; Oleaceae. The record is from RNAcentral.